GACGAACCGUGCGAACGUUAUUCGGAAUCAUUGGGCUUAAAGGGUGCGUAGGCGGGCUCGGUGAGUCAGGGGUGAAAUCCCACGGCCCAACCGUGGAAGUGCCUCUGAUACCGCGGGCCGUCGAGGGGGGAUAGGGGCGUGCGGAACUUCCGGUGGAGCGGUGAAAUGCGUAGAUAUCGGAAGGAACACCGGGUGGCGAAAGCGGCGCGCUGGAUCCCUACUGACGCUGAGGCACGGAAAGCCAGGGGAGCAACGGG
RNAcentral lists this ribosomal RNA (257 nucleotides) under uncultured bacterium. Its description in RNAcentral is "partial 16S ribosomal RNA". It matches the Rfam family "Bacterial small subunit ribosomal RNA", at positions 524 to 775 of the family's 1533-position model. The record is from RNAcentral.